Molecule: transfer RNA, 72 nt
Filed under: Nuclearia simplex
Lineage: Eukaryota; Rotosphaerida; Nucleariidae
Description: tRNA-Gly
Rfam family: tRNA
About the family: Transfer RNA (tRNA) molecules are approximately 80 nucleotides in length. Their secondary structure includes four short double-helical elements and three loops (D, anti-codon, and T loops).
Source: RNAcentral
GUGAAUAUAAUUUAAUUGGUAAAAUCAGAGAUUUCCACUCUCUUCAUAAGGGUUCAAUUCCCUUUAUUCACU